RNAcentral lists this ribosomal RNA (616 nucleotides) under Erythrus championi. RNAcentral describes it as "partial large subunit ribosomal RNA". It matches the Rfam family "Bacterial large subunit ribosomal RNA", at positions 1474 to 2560 of the family's 2925-position model. The record is from RNAcentral. Lineage: Eukaryota; Metazoa; Arthropoda; Insecta; Coleoptera; Cerambycidae.
UUCUCGAAUUUAGAAGAGCUAUCUAUAUUGUUGUAAUAAACACUUAUAAUAUGUGGUUAGAUGCAAAUAUAUCUAGUUUUUUAAGAAAAUUCAAUUUGUUUAUACUUUGAGGGAUGAGCUUUAAAUAGAAUUAGAAGUUUUGUUAUAAUCGUUCUAUUAAAAUGUGAAUUUUAAUUUAUUCAGUGAUAAUGAUAGAAUUAGUAAAAGGUUAGUCAAAGGAACUCGGCAAACAUUUUUCACCUGUUUAUUAAAAACAUGGCCUAUUGAUAAUUAUUUUAGGUCUUGCCUGCCCACUGAGGCCGCGGUAUUUUGACCGUGCUAAGGUAGCAUAAUAAUUAGUUUCUUAAUUAGAAGCUUGUAUGAACGGUAGGAUGAGAAAAUUUCUGUCUCUGACUAAUUGAACUUUAUUUUUGAGUAAAAAAGCUUAAAUUUUACUAAAAGACGAGAAGACCCUGUAGAAUUUUAUUUUGGUUGGGGUGAUUGAAAAAUUAAAAUAACUUUUGAUUAUAAGAUAAAAUUACCUCAGGGAUAACAGCGUAAUCUUCUUUAGAGUCCUAAUCGAAAAGAAGGUUUGCGACCUCGAUGUUGGAUUAAAAUUAAGCCUGGUGUAGAAGUU